UGCGCAGGCGGACUUUUAAGUCAGUGGUGAAAUCCCGAGGCUCAACCUCGGAACUGCCAUUGAUACUGGAAGUCUUGAAUUUGGUUGAAGUGGGCGGAAUGUAGCAUGUAGCGGUGAAAUGCUUAGAUAUGCUACAGAACACCGAUCGCGAAGGCAGCUCACUAAGCCAAUAUUGACGCUCAGGCACGAAAGCGUGGGGAGUAAACAGGAUUAGAUACCCUGGUAGUCC
This 229-nucleotide ribosomal RNA is filed under the name uncultured bacterium. RNAcentral describes it as "partial 16S ribosomal RNA". It matches the Rfam family "Bacterial small subunit ribosomal RNA", at positions 568 to 796 of the family's 1533-position model. The record is from RNAcentral.